UCUCAGUUCUCUCGUCACUAACCAACACAUCAACUAUGUCUGAGGAAAUCAAGAAGAUCGAGGAGGUCGCCGAGCAAGACAAGGCUCCAAAGGUUCCAACCACCGAACCACCAGUCGAUGUUCCAGCACCAGUUACUGAAGAAGCACCAAAAGUAGAAGAAGCUGUCGCUGAGAUUGCUGCCCCAGCUGCUGCAGAAGGAGAAACUGCCACCGCUGCUGCUGCAGCUCCAGAAGAGAAAAAGAAGUCUGGAGGUGUUGCUCGGCGUUUCACUUUCAACAAGAGAUGGGGAAAGCACCGUGAUGCGGAAGCAUCCACUCCAAAAGAGCCAGAAGCACCAAAGGAUCCAAAGGAAGACGUUCUCGGAUGGAUUGCUCAACAGAUUCCACAGGCUGUUCACAAGGCCAACUACCAGGUUAUCGACUGGGUUCAGAAGACAGCUAUCCCAGAGGAAGGAGAGCGAAAGACCAUUCCGGGAAAAGAUCAGGCCACGACUCGCAACCAAUUCAUUGGAUUCUUCAAAGAUGGAGAUGUCCUCGCCAAGCUGGCCAACGCUCUUGAGCCAGGAGCAGUUGAAGUCGCUGCCGCUGAGGAAAACGCCGAUGCUGCAGCCCAGAAAGAAGUUCAGAAGAAGAACAUUGAUGCCUUCGGAGCUUGGGCUCAAAAGACUCUUGGAACCGAGGCUGCUCCAGUAACCAACGAAGAUCUUCUUGAAAAGGGAAAAGCUGGAUACACAGCUGUUUUCCAAACUCUCUGGCAACUCGGAGUUCAGGCCAAGGAAAAGUUUGACAAGGAAGGAUUCAAUGUUGACACCAUUGUUCAGCUUGCAAACUCUGUCGUCAAGAGCGGAUUGUUGACCACAAUCCUAGGAUUCUUCAGAAGAAAUCGGCAAGCUGCUGCUGCUGUAGAAGAGCCAAAGGAUGAGACUGCAGCUGCGGAGGGAGCCGGAGAAGCAAAAGAAGAGGGAGCUACCGGAGAAGUUGCAGAUACCGCUGAUGAGCCAGUUGCAGUGAAACAAGAGACUAGUGCACCGGCUGCCGUCGCUGCAAAUUAGAAAUCUGGAAGAAGUAUUUAUCUUUCUGUAAUUUCUAGUCCGCAUCUCUCUUUUCCACUAUCGUGUUCCGGUAUCUCAACUGUUUCCUCCGCCUCUUCAUUCCAAAUAUUCAAUGUCUCUUCCUCGAAACGAUGAUGAUAGCUCAAAGAAGAAAUGUGCUCUCAAAACACUAUCUUCAAUCAAAGCAAUCAUCUUCAUUUCGAUGUCGGCCGGGCAGCAGCAAUCAAUUUUUAAAAAAUCUUUUCUCUAAAAGAAAAUCUAAUUUUGUUCAUCGUUUUACCAUUCUUCAUUUCAACCAAUUUUCUCACCUAAUAAGACUUUAAUAAUCGAUAAUUGAUCUAUAAAAGUCUAUUUUUCACCAAUCUCUCGAUUCAUCAAACUUUUUUUGUAUUUUGAUAACUAUUGUCUCAGCUUUCUCUUUUUGUGCUUUUCAUCCUCCAAAAGUGUGAAGCUCAUUAAAUGAGCCUUUCCACUUGAUUGAUUCGAGAUUUUUCCUGUUUUUCCAAAGUUCAAUCUCUAUUCUCUCGCUUUUUUCAACUUCAGUUUUUUCUCAUUUUUCGAAAUAAAUAAUGGAACCAACCAA
RNAcentral lists this unclassified non-coding RNA (1635 nucleotides) under Caenorhabditis elegans. RNAcentral's name for it is "Non-coding transcript of protein-coding gene chdp-1". Lineage: Eukaryota; Metazoa; Nematoda; Chromadorea; Rhabditida; Rhabditidae. The record is from RNAcentral.